Molecule: transfer RNA, 72 nt
Filed under: Candidatus Woesebacteria bacterium RIFOXYA1_FULL_43_16
Lineage: Bacteria; Candidatus Woeseibacteriota
Also listed under: 3 other names
Description: tRNA-Val
Rfam family: tRNA
About the family: Transfer RNA (tRNA) molecules are approximately 80 nucleotides in length.
Source: RNAcentral
GCCGGUGGAGCUCGAAGUGGAAGAGCAACCCCUUACAAGGGUAGGUUCAAGGUUCGAACCCUUGCAUCGGCA